UCUGAUGCAGCGACGCCGCGUGAGUGAAGAAGGUCUUCGGAUCGUAAAACUCUGUCCUUGGUGAAGAAGAAAUGACGGUAGCCAAGGAGGAAGCCCCGGCUAACUACGUGCCAGCAGCCGCGGUAAUACGUAGGGGGCGAGCGUUGUCCGGAUUUACUGGGCGUAAAGGGUGAGUAGGCGGUUAUAUAUGUCAGAUGUAAAAGGCUAUGGCUUAACCAUAGUUAGCAUUUGAAACUGUAUGACUUGAGUGCAGGAGAGGUAAGUGGAAUUCCUAGUGUAGCGGUGAAAUGCGUAGAUAUUAGGAGGAACACCAGUGGCGAAGGCGACUUACUGGACUGUAACUGACGCUGAGUCACGAAAGCGUGGGUAGCAAACAGGAUUAGAUACCCUGGUAGUCCACGCUGUAAACGAUGAGUGCUAGGUGUUGGGUAGCGAUACUCAGUGCCGAAGUAAACACAAUAAGCACUCCGCCUGGGGAGUACGGUCGCAAGACUGAAACUCAAAGGAAUGGACGGA
This 516-nucleotide ribosomal RNA is filed under the name uncultured Sedimentibacter sp. RNAcentral describes it as "bacterial SSU rRNA". It matches the Rfam family "Bacterial small subunit ribosomal RNA", at positions 382 to 917 of the family's 1533-position model. The record is from RNAcentral. Lineage: Bacteria; Bacillati; Bacillota; Tissierellia.